AGAGUUUGAUCCUGACUCAGGACGAACGCUGGCGGCGUGCCUAACACAUGCAAGUCGAGCGGGGAUUAUCGGAUGAAGUUUUCGGAUGGAUUCCGGUAAUUCUAGCGGCGGACGGGUGAGUAACGCGUGAGCAACCUGCCUUUCACGAGGGGGAUAACGCAUCGAAAGGUGCACUAAUACCGCAUGAGACCACGCUCCCGACAUGAGAGAGGGGUCAAAGGAGCAAUCCGGUGAGAGAUGGGCUCG
This 246-nucleotide ribosomal RNA is filed under the name uncultured bacterium. RNAcentral describes it as "partial 16S ribosomal RNA". It matches the Rfam family "Bacterial small subunit ribosomal RNA", at positions 8 to 233 of the family's 1533-position model. The record is from RNAcentral.